UCUGUCCUUUUUAUUCGCAAAAAAUCGCUAUAAAUUCAAGAGAGGCGUAAAAUUCUCGUUCAUUCUUCGAUCUGAUAACCAAGAAGAACAGAUUCUGUCCAUUUUUUUUCAUCUUUUUGGGAUCGAAUUUGUUCUUCGAUCGGUCCUUGGACUCAUCUGCAUCUUGCGCUUGCUGGGAAUCCCUUUCUGCGUCACGAAAUGUUUGAAUUUUUUUUUUCAUGAUUUUCUUGAACUACUGAAGGAACGGUGGAUAUGGCUAGGAUUUGAGGGUUUGAGAUGGUGAUAAGUGACAACGAGAGAGAGCACGCUGGUUGGCGUUCAUGAAGUUUGGGCCAUGACUGUGCACCGGCGUGCUCUAUCUCGCUGUCAUUCUGUCUCAUCCGCCAUCAACUAGCCUGGCUCGCCUUCCUUACUUCCUUUUGUCUUUUCAUGGUUUCUUAGAGGCUUGCUCUUGCUGGAACUCCUUGCUGACAAAAGAUUGGGAGAUUCAGUUGUAUUCAGACAGUUAUUCCAUUUGAAGGUCAACUCUCCUACUACAAUAAAAUCAUGUAGCUAAGUUCCGUUUGUUGAUUUA
Molecule: long non-coding RNA, 574 nt
Organism: Dioscorea cayenensis subsp. rotundata (Guinea yam)
Lineage: Eukaryota; Viridiplantae; Streptophyta; Magnoliopsida; Dioscoreales; Dioscoreaceae
Exons: 2
Source: RefSeq, a predicted model, not a curated record